Molecule: long non-coding RNA, 32607 nt
Filed under: Brassica napus (rape)
Lineage: Eukaryota; Viridiplantae; Streptophyta; Magnoliopsida; Brassicales; Brassicaceae
Description: long non-coding RNA (BNAP_LNC003521)
Source: RNAcentral
AGAUAAGAUCUGGCCUCGAUAAUGCUGAAGCAUUGGUAUGUGUGACUCUGGAAUAUAGCAGUUUUUUCUUUAUUGUCCCUUUUAACAUUUUUUCUUAUUCACCAGAUUAGGAAAAUGGAUGUUGAGGCGAGGAGCCUUCCACCGAGCAUUAGGACCAGCCUCCUUGUUAAACUAAGAGAGUUCAAGUCCGAUCUCAACAACUUCAAAAGCGAAGUCAAGAGGAUCACAUCUGCUAACUUGAAUGCUGCUGCUCGCGACGAGCUGCUUGAAGCUGGUCUGGCUGACACAAAGACGGUAUGUAAAGAGAACUCACUAGUAUCUUUUUUGACAUCUUUUGAUUGAUCUAUGACAUUUGAGGGCAGGCUUCGGCUGAUCAAAGAGCGAGAUUGAUGAUGUCAACCGAUCGAUUGGGUCGAACCACUGACAGAAUCAAGGACAGUCGAAGAAUGAUGAUUGAGACUGAAGAGCUUGGAGUUUCUGUCCUACAAGACUUGCACAGUCAGAGACAGUCUCUCCUUCGCACUGGCGACACGGUAUGUACUCUCUUCUUCAGCACGAUUUUAUCAUGAAGAAGACUACGUUUUAUUUAUAUACUACUUGUGAUUGGUGUCUCUUUUAACCAAAAGUUAGAACUCUGAAACAUGCAGCUUAGUGGAGUAGACGAAAAUGUCGGAAAGAGCAAGAAGAUCUUGACGGGCAUGACCAGGGGGAUGAACAGGAACAAAUGGACCAUUGGAGCCAUUAUCACCGCUCUGGUCGCGGCUAUUAUCCUCAUCUUGUACUUCAAACUCACCAAGUAAUCCCUCUGUAUCUAAACUCUUUGUCGCUGAACAAAUGGUGUGUAUCUUUUAUUUAAUCCUUUUCUGGCUUUCUGUGUGAUAAGUUAUGUCUUUGCCACCUUUUGUAUUAUCACGUUCUCUUGUUUGCGUUUGCGAUUACAUUUGUGUAUUUUAAUACUGAAUGAUGCAAAUUGUUUUGUUUUAUUAUUACUAAACGCAAGCGUAAAUUACAUUUCAAACAAUUAGAGCCUAAGCCUUGAGAUUGAGAACUAGUUGUGUGUUUUUCUUUCAUUCUUGAACCUGUUAUAAUCAGCGAGCAAGCUCUCAAUAACCUUAUGUUUCAUGCUAUCCACCAAACCAGUCAAAAUCUGUAGAAACCAAAUCACAACCAAACAUUAUUUACAAAGCUGAAAUAGUGGAAAAUAUCGUUUUCGAGUUCUCAAACGCAUAUAAGAAACCGUUUCUAACCGCAUUGGCCACGCUUCUCUUAACAUCUUCGGGUACAAACGCAAGAACCGAAGGAAGGACGAAGCUUACGUUCAUCUCUAAUUGACCUUUGAGCCUUGUGUGGCUUCCGCCUCGGUCUGGGUACAAUGCUCCUUGAACUCCCAGAGUGAAAUCAGACUGUUCCAUGACCUGGCCAAGCCCUUGAAGCUCCCAUUUCAUCUGAAGGUAAACCGUUAAAAGGGAACAAAAGAGUGAGAAUCGUCAAGGGUUGUGUCUGUUUCUAUUACCAUGUUAAGCUCAAGAACUCUGGUUAUGUCUAGAGGUACAUCAGGCGGGUAAUCUUGACCGUUGGAUUUGCAUCUAAUUCGCAUGUCCACCACUGGCCUUGCAGUGAGGAAGAGGAAAUUUAUAGGUGACAUAUGAAUUCUCCAUUCUUCCUGCACAAAUAAAAUAUUGUUAGAUACCGAAUGCAUUCCCACUUACAUAAAAAGUAACACAUAUUAGCUACCUCGUUAAGCCUAUAGCUUCUAGGUUUAUCAGGAAACAUUGCUUUGAAAACCCUACACUUAUCCUCCAAAUACUCAUCGAACAACGCCUGAACUUUCCCGAAACGCGUCAAACACAUACACUGUUGUACAGUGAUGCAUAUAUAUAACUCAUUAUAGGAAAUGAGAGUGAGAAUGAGACCUGAGGAGACUCGUGCAAUUGAACAUCGGUAGAGAAUUUAGAUGAAUACUUGGAGGCUUUUACAGUUGACAACUGGCACUUGGCUCCUGGCCGUAAUGUUCUCAUCUCCGCCGCUGUAGACCUGAUUCUUCCCAGCAUUGUCGGACACGACAAAACUGUUGAGCUGACAGCCAUGUUAGUAGUCUCUCUCUAGGUUUUCAAGAUUGGAUGAUGUUUGAUCUUUCCCACAUGUUUGAAAGAUAAGGGGAUAUGUGUCUUUCGGCCUUGUAUGUAGACGUGGUAUAUCGAGGGACUAUCCACCUCAUCAACAUUUUGAAUUCUUGGCCCUCUUUGAUUUACUCCUUUAUUCACGUUUUUCUCACUAUUAAGAAGAAGACAAUCUUGUUGAACAAAUAAUUAAAAAAAAGAAGACAAUCUCUUUCUCUCUAUACUCUUUCAGUCUUUCUUCGGUUCUCUGUUAUGAAAACAGUCUCCUUUCUUUCGGCUAAAUCAGGUCAAUAACAGAAAAUUGUGUGUUUUUUUUACAGUGUUCUAAAAAUUGGUUUAGAUGACACAUUAAAAAAAGUCUAACCAUACAUUUAAUCAACAAUCUUCGUAAAAAGUAUAACUACCGCCUAACGAUUUUUUGCAUUGUUUUUCUCUCAAAAUAUUACAAUUGACAGAUUUAAUAUUCAAAUAUUAUAGUUACUCCAUAACUAAUAGCUCGACGGCAUAAAAUUGACAUGAUAUAGUCAAUAGUUUCGUCUAUUUUUAACAGUUGACUAUUAUAAUCCUAAUUUUUUUAAUUAUAAUCCUAGUUUUAUGGUGUAUAUAUAUACUAGUUGAUACAAGUUGUUUUGUUUAAUAUAAACGUAUACGCCAAACAUGGCGCAUAAAUUACAUUCAAACCAUUAAAGCUUUAGCCUUGAGAUUAAAAACUAAUGAUGUGUUCUUCUUUCAUUCUUAAACCUAUUAUAAUCAUCGAGCAAGCUCUCAAUAACCUUAUGCUUCAUAUUAUCCACCAAACCAUUUAAAACCUGCAGAAAGCAAAUAAAAACAUAAGAUAAUAUAUAAAUUUGGAAUAUAGUGUUUUGAAUUUGCAAAUGCAUUUAUUUCUAACCGCAUUGGCAACGUUUCUCCUAACAUCCUCUGGUACAAGCAUGAGAACCGUAGGAAGCACGAAGCUAACGUUCAUCUCUAGUCGACCUUUGAGCCUUGUGUGCCUUCCGCCUCGGUCUGGGUACAAUGCUCCUUGAACUCCAAGGGUGAAAUCAGAUGGCUCCAUGACCCGGUCAAGCCCUUGAAGCUCCCAUUUCAUCUGAAAAUAAACCGUUCAAAGAGAACAAAAGAGUGAGGUAUUUAGACUUUUUAGUACUUCCUCCAUUCAACGAAGAUAUAAAUCUUGGAUAUUUCACACAAUUUAAAUAUAAAUUUACAAUUCUAAAAUAUUUUUUUAAUACCAUAAUUUAAAAAAAAUCAAUUUAUUUCAACAGUAUUGUCUUAAUCAAUAUGAUCAGUAAAUAAAGGUAAACAAUUAUUCAUAAAACUUUUCUCUUUCUGAAACAAUUAAAAAUGUCAAAACUUGUAUUUUUGUGGAAAGGAGUGAGUACCAUGUUAAGCUCAAGGACUUUGGUUAUGUCUAGAGGUACAUCAGGCGGGUAAUCCUGACCGGUGGAUUUGCAUCGGAUCCGCAUGACCACCACUGGCCACGCAGUGAGGAAGAGAAAUUUUAUUGGCAACAUUUGGAUUCUCCAUUCUUCCUGCACAAGUAAAUCAUGUCGGUCUUUUCGUUAGAGUAACCAAAGAAUGCAACCCAGAGCCGUGCCUGACUAGAGGCUGAUCAAGCACUUGCUUGAGGCCAAAACGUAGAUAAAUAGUUUUAUGGGCCAAUUUCUUGGCAAGAGUUGUCUACAGAACAGUUGGUAAUAGUCUGUAUUAUUACUCUAGGGUCCCGGGUUCAAUCACGAGUAUAGCAGUUUGACCUUUUUUCCAAAAAAUUUAUAGUUUAUGGGGCAAAUUUUUUUUAGUGCUUUAGGACCCACAAUAUUCAGGCAUGGCCCUGAAUUGCAACCCCACACUUAUAAAAAUGGAACAUGGAUGUUACCUCGUUAAGCCUAUAGCUUUUGGGUUUAUCAGGAAACAUUGCUUUGAAAACCCUCGACUUAUCCUCCAAAUACUCAUCGAACAACGCCUGAAGUUUCAAAGCAUUACAACACAAACAGUUUUACACUGAUGCAUACAUAUAUAACAUUAUAGAGAUUGAAAGUGAGAAAGAGAUACCAGAGGAGACUCGUGCAGUUGAACAUCGGUAGUUAUUUUAGAUGAAUAUUUGGAGGGUUUUACGGGUGACAACUGACACUUAACUCCCCACCGUAUUGUUCUCAUCUCCACCGCCACCGACCGGCGUCUUCCGAACAUCUUCGGGCAUGACAAAACCAUUGAGCUUACAGCCAUUUUACCAGUCUUUCUCUCUCUUUUUUGGUCUUCAAGAUUGGAUGAUAUUUGAUCUUUCCCACUUUUCUCUCUCUCUAUAUUUAUAUAUAUCUUCAGAGGAAAGAUUGCGUCUUUGCUUCUCUUUAAUACGUUUAGAGACCUUUGUUAAAGAAAAUAGAGACAGAGAGUAACAUUCUCACGGUACGCAUUUGGAAGAUAGUGGAUUUCGAGAAAUAAUUGUUGAAACAUUGCUUUUCAACCUCUAUAGUAACCGGGUACAUAUUCGGUUUGGUUUAAUUGUUUCAGGUUUUGUAAGAAAUAUAAGUCCACUUCAUUUAAUUUAGUUUAGUUUGGUUUGGUUUAGUUAAGAGGUUACCCAUUUAUUUUGCCAUCUACGUGGUGAUAAUGUAAAGCCUCGUCUGUCACGCAGUUGUUGAUGAGAGUGACACGAGAACAUUGAACGUUGAGAAUAAUCUGUAGAAUAACUUCUAUCACACGCAGAGGUUUUGAAAAAAAAAAGAAAAAGAAUUCAUUGCUUUCGAAACCGACAAACUCUCGGACCGAAUACUAAGAAACCGGUUUACUUUGGCGCCUAGGAAUAUGGGUUACUAACUUUGACUUUUAAUGUAAGCAAUAAGCAAAGAUCUCUUGUUGUUUGCAACUCUUUCAACUCUAUAAUCUUUGUUUUUCAGACUGGCUAAGUAAAUUAAAACAUUAAAAUCUUAUAUAGUAUGUUACGAUGACUGUUCAUAAACGAUUUGUUCAUGUUGGAUUGAGAAACUAUACAUGGUUGAGCAUUGACAUUAAAAUUCGGCUUUAGUAGAUAACUUGUGUAAUCUUCUCUCGUUCUUGAACCUGCUAUAAUCAGCGAGCAAGCUCCCAUUAACCUUAUGCUUCAUAUUCUCCACUAAACCUGUCAAAACCUGUAAAUGGGUCCAAAUCAGAUCAUGUGUAAAUCAUAAGAGAUAGUCAAAUAAGGUUUUACAUACCGCACUGGCCAAGUUUCUCCUAACGUCUUCAGGUACCAAUUCAAGAACCGGGGGAAGAACAAAGCUUAUGUUCAUCUCUAGCUGACCUCUGAGCCUUGUGUGCUUUCCUCUCCGGUCUGGGUACAAUGCUCCUUUGACUCCCAAACUGAAGUCAGACGGUUGCAUCACUCGGUCAAGCCCUUUAAGUUGCCAUCUCGUCUGAAAAGAAGCAUUUAAGAGUUUGAGUAAUGGAAGAUGAAGAAACGAAGAGAGAGAAAAGUUAUUACCAUGUUGAGCUCAACAACUUUGGUUAUGUCUAAAGGUACGUCUGCCGGGUAAUCCUGACCGUUGGAUUUGCAACUUAAACGCAUAUCGACCACAGGCCACACAGUGAGGAAGAGGAAAUUAAUUGGUAACAUCUGAAUCCUCCACUCUUCCUGCAAAAAUUCAAUUUAUCCAAGUAGACUUAAAAUAGUGAAAAAGGGGGCGUUCCGAGAAUUGAACUCGGGACCUCUCGCACCCUAAGCGAGAAUCAUACCACUAGACCAAACGCCCGUUUUGAACGUGUUUUAUAUAUAACUAAUGUUAGUCAUAUUAGUUGACGUACCUCGUUAAGCUUAUGGCUUCUGGGUUUGUCAGGGAACAUGGCUUCGAAAACUCUCGAUUUAUCCUCUAAAUAGUCAUCAAACAACGCCUAAAAGUUCCUCAAAAUCACAUUUAAGAAACGCACCAAAACAGUUUAAACUGAAUCGUGUUAUAGAGGGAGAGAGAGAAGGAGACCUGAGGAGACUCGUGGAGAGGAAUAUCUGUGGAGAGUCUUGACGAAUACGUGGCAGGUUUUAUGGAUGAUACCUGACACCUAACUCUCCACCGUGUAAUUGGUCUCAUCUCCGUCUUCACCGGUCGGUAAGUUCCGAACAUGGGCGAUGACAAAACCGCCAUUUCACCGAUUAUCUUUUCAAUAUCAGAACUUUUAUAUAUUCCACAUUUCUCUUUUGAUUUCUCUCUGAAAGUUAAAAACUUUUGAAAGAACUUUUAGAUUUCUCUAGAGGAGUGAAGUUGCUUUUUGCUAGAGAUUUUGGAGGGAUAAGGGGAUAUCUGUCUUUCGGCCUUCUAUGUCGACGUGGCAUAUUUUGAGACUAGCCACAUCAUCAACAUUUGGAAUUCGUAGGGCCCUUCUUUUCUUUGUACUCCUUUCGGACUUUUCCUUUCCGUUAGUGGAUGAGAAUGACACGAGACGAAACUAAAAAAAAAAAAAACUCAAAUGUAUUAUCUGACGACAAAGGAAGGUUCGACAAACUAAACUCAAUCCUUAUUUUACAUUAGUUCCACUGUACAUGUUCUGUCAUAUUAAAAGAUCAAGAAUAUUCAAAUCCUACGAGCAACGCAUUAUAUUGUCGGAUGAAUUUCCUUGAAAGUGUAUGGUUUGAAAUUUCAGGACUGUAGAGGGCACACAGAUGAUCCUCCUAAAGAAUGUAGAUAUCAAACCUUAAGUUCUGUGAUUUGUUCUUCGAUUUCUUGCUUAUAAAAGCAAACUAAAAUGAAAUGUGGAACGUAAAUGCCACAAUUGAUUCACGGCUUCGUUGAGCUCACUUCACUCUCUUUGUUAAAACUCAAAUACAUCUCGAUCUUCUUAGUUCCAACAACCAAAGAGGAUACAAAAGACAAUCUUUCACGGUUUAUUUCUAACAUUAGUAAGAAAAGGACUCGUCUCUUUCUCUCUUAAUUCCUUCACGGUUAAAACCUCAAGUCAAACCGUCAACACACUUAUGGGCCUUAUCCAUUUCCUAACUGGGCCUUAAUUUUAAUUUUAAUUUCUAGUCCAAUCGGUAAUCGCUUCGAUCUGUCGGUAGACAGAAUAGAAUAAUGGUUUCGCCGGUUAAACCAGUCGGCAAUCGGUACGAUCAGAUUGCAUAAAAGCAAAUCAUAAUAAGUCACGUGGCACAGUUUACACGGUUCGUAGACUCGUAGUGGUCGCCAUGUAAACAGCGGGAAAACAGGGCCCCACACAUAUUAACUAAGGAGUAGGACCAACAAAAUCAUCACCACGAAACGCAGCGUUUCCCCUUCGUCUCCGCGUUUAAAAUCUUCUUUCACCCUUUCGUCAUUUCGUCAGAUCCAAGAGAGAGAGAGAGAAAUCAGAAAAAGAUCUUGAAACGAUGCCGUACUACACCAGAGACGAGGAUGAAGUCGACGAUUUCGACGAGUUCGAUCCGACGCCGUACAGUGGAGGCUACGACAUCACCGUGAUCUACGGCCGUCCGAUCCCUCCUUGCGACGACACUUGCUACCCUCUCUCCUCCGCAGCGGAUGAAGAUUUCGAGUACGAGAGACCUGAAUUCACCUCGUACCACGAUCCUUCCGCCUACGCCGAAGAAGCUCUCAACCCCGAGUACAGCAGCUACUCCCGCCCCAAGCCCCGUCCCGGUUUUCGACCCGGUUCUGCCGGAGGCGGUCACGUCCAAGGUGAGCGACCCGAUCAGAGUUACGGAUCCGGUUACGGUGGUCAGACGGAGGCUGAGUACGGUAGGAGACCUGAAUCGGGGUACGGCGGAGCCACGGAGACGGAGUAUGGCCGGAGACCUGAGCAGAGUUACGGAUCUGGUGGAUACGGUGGCAGAUCGGAGGUUGAGUCUGGUGGCUAUGGUGGUAGAUCAGAGGUUGAAUCUGGUGGAUACGGUGGAAGAUCGGAGUCUGGUGGCUAUGGUGGAAGAACGGAGGUUGAGUAUGGCCGGAGACCUGAAUCUGGAUAUGGUGGGAGAUCGGAGACGGAGACCGGGUACGGAUCCGGGUAUGAGAAGAAACCGAGCUUCGGUGAAGAGAGGAGCGAGUAUGAGCGCAAGCCUAGCUAUGGAAGGUCUGAGGAUCAAGAGGAAGGAGGUUACAGGAAGCCUAGCUAUGGGAGAUCUGAGGAUCAGGUUGAGAGCUACAUAAAGCCCAGCAGCUACGGGAGGUCUGAGGAAGAGGAAGAAGGAGGCUAUAGGAAGCCUAGCUAUGGAAGGUCUGAGGAACAGGAGGAAGGGAGUUACAGGAAGCCUAGCUAUGGCCGUCGUAAUGAUGAUGAUGAUGAUGAGGAGCGCAGGAACCGUUCCGGUGAUGAUGAGGAAGGGAGCUAUGGCCGCAAGAAAUAUGUAAGUUCAAUAAGUUAAUUAUAUAAAGUUAUAGUCAAUUUGCAUCUAGAUUAUUGUGUGGAAAUUAAGUUUAUUGAUUGUUUAAACAUAAAACCCUUUUGUUGAUGGACUGAUCUCAACAUUGAAACUAAAGAUUAUAGUUUUGGUGAUAACAUCCAUUACCCCCUUUAACUUCAUUCGUUCAGUAUUUGAUUUAACAUUGACAUCUUGUAGGUUAUAACAAUCAUAGUACAGAACUUGCAUUGUGUUUUUUGCGUCUCGUUUGUUUUGAAAAUAAGUUUUAGUUUGGUUUUGAUCACAGUGUAGCGGUGUAACUCUGUUUUCACAUCCUGAAAUGGAGUUCCUUAAUUUGAAAGCUAUGUUCUACAAUCCCAUAAUAACGUUCCUGGUUCAAUGUUUGUUUGAAUAUAGACAUCUUGAAUAUGUCCCAUUGUUGAUCUUAGUGUAGAGUAGUCUCCAUGUUGAACUAAAGUGUUUGUCUUUCAUACCCUGUAACUCUGUUUUCACAUCCUGUAAUGGAUUAGCCUCGGUUGAAAGCUAAGUUCUUUGAUUGAAAUUGCACAUCAUGUAUAUGACAUUUGAAGAUCAUAGUUACAGAGUAUCUAUCUCCAUUGUUAUGGUGACCGUUAAUAGAGGCAUCACUGACUAAAGCUUUCGCUUAACGUUAUUCAUCUCUGCAUCAAAUUCUGUAGGGUGGCAAUGACUCUGAUGAUGAUGAGGAGAAGAAGCAGCAGCGUUACAAGCAUCACCACCACCAGAGGCGUCGUGAUGAAGACGAUGACUAAAGCCCUCACUCAGUGCUGGAAUCGAGUGCUUCUACUUAGCUUCAUAUUACUAAAUAAAAAGCUAAGGCAUAUUUAUCUUUGGAUGUUGUUGUUGUGUUUGUUUGAUUCUCUCUAGAUACAGCAGAGUCUGUGUCUGGGUUUGUUUCUGGUUCAUUAUAAGACCUUGAAUUGAUAUCGGGUCAUCAUCAUGAUGUUAAACUGUUGCUACUCUGUGUUUCGUUUUUAUUUAUGGAACUUUUCUCUUUUAUGGCUUCUGUUGUUUUGGUUUUGUCGAUAUUAAUAUUAAAAAUCAAAAGUCAUUGCCGAGAAGGAAAAAUAUUUUGUGGUAAAAGCUAGAUUCGAUUUUUUAUACUGAAUAUUUUAUGAUUAAAAACAGAAAAAAGAAAAUCGGUUUUGUAAUAGGAAUGGGUUAAUCAGAUACCUAUAUGUACAUUACACAUCUUUUUGCUUCAACAUCAGAAACUUACAACCAAACAAUUCUAAAAGAAGCAAUGUCAAGCGCUACAGUCCUCGAUGAAUCUAGCGUUCCUAGCCCCAGGAGUACAUGGAGGUGAGAUUCCACUAAAUAUAUUGUUAUGUAACAUAAGAUUUUUGAUUAUAAACAUUAUUAUACUGAAACGAAUUUUCUGGUUGGUUGCAGGAUGGACGGGCAGUUACGAUACGACAUUGCGAUGAACACCAUCAUUAUAAUCCUCAUCACUGAUGCGGUCUUACAUAUGACUCUGAGAGCCCACAAGAUUCCCCUUGCUGAUAACGUUGAGGGACUUUUAUGUACAUUUGUAGUUGCGUACGUGUUUGUCAUCACGACUAAUUGCGGGUAUUGGCUUACAGCAAGCGAGGAAGAAGGGUGUUUACUUGGAAUUUACAUCACGGGACGCCUUGGUCACACGUUAGGCUUUUGUAUUUUCCUCUGUCUCCUCUAUUCUAGUUCUCACUUGGCUAUGUACGUUGCUCUACCUUGUUUACUAUGUUUGGUGCCAGCCAUGUUUGCACCGUGUUGUCCAUGUCUGUGGAGAGGAGAGUCAACUUGGUGGAAUUUUGUGAAGCAACCACAACCAACAGUAGAUAUUGUUUAACUUUUGGACUAUUAUUAUUAAUAGAAUUUUUUAAUUCCUAAUUUUGUAAACAUCUCGUCAAUUGUUUGUUCUUAACUUUUCUCUCUUGCGAUCGGUGAAUUUUGUUUCCACUGUCUACCCAUAAACCUCGUGUUGACAUGUGUUUUGCGAUCUAACAAGAUAUUAUUAUGGUUUAGGGAUUGUUUUAGACAUCAAUCCUCUUUUGAUAUGGCUGAAGAAAAUUAAGAGUUCCUAGUCUUGAUUUGUUCCUGCUUAAUGUAAUUUGGGGAAAGUGAUCAUUUAUCUUUUGGUACAUUAUCAUUGUGUGUUGCAUGCAAAGUAUCAAUCUACUUGGAACUUAACAUUGCGUUAUUUGCAUCUAGCUUGUUUGGAAAAUAAGUUUUAAUUUGGUUUAAUCCCGUUGUUGAUCACAGUGUAGUGUGAUCUCAAUGUUGAACUAAAGAUAUCUUUAGUUUGUUCUUUAGAUUCUUUAUGAGUUACUACAAGCCUUUGUCUGCUUCCCUUUGGUUACAGGCUUGUCAUUACUAGUUGUAGAUCAUCAUUGAUUUUGCAGAACAAAAGAUGCAGAAGCUGUCCCAAAUAAGGACACAAGGACAUAAGUUUGUGCUUUAGAUCCUUUAUGAGUUUAUCUUCAGUUUUUGCGUUUUAGAUCCUUUAUGAGUUAUUACAAACCUCUCGACUCUUGUAAGGACAUAAGAUCUGUGCAUUAUCUGGUUACUGGCUGUACAAAGAGCUUGUCAAUUACUAGGUGUAGAUCAUCAUUGUUUCUGUUUGUUAAGAUGCAUUGAUGACACCUUACUCAUUGAUUCCCGAAACAAAAGAAGCAUAAGCUCUCUGAAAUAAGGCGUGGCCGCAAAAAUGCUAAAGUGUUGGUAUGUAGUCUAAGGCAUAGAUCGAAUAAAGCAGCGUUUUCCUUAUUGUCCCUUUGCUUUGUACAUUUUCUUAUUCACCAGAUUAGAAAAAUGGAUCUUGAAGCCAGGAGCCUUCCACCAAGCAUUAAUUCCAGCCUCCUUGUCAAACUAAGAGAGUUUUCAAGUCUGAUCUCAACAACUUCAAAAGCGAAGUCAAGAGAUCGAUGAGGUCAGCUGAUCGAUUGGGUCGAACCACAGACAGAAUCAAGAGACUGAAGAGCUUGGCGUCUCAGUCCUCCAAGACUUGCACAGUCAGAGACAGUCUUCCUCUCCUACGCACUAACGACACGGUAUGUGCUCUCUUCAACAAUUUUCUCUUACACGGGUUUUAUCAUGAAGAAGAAUACUACGUGUGAUUGGCAUCUCUUUUAACCAAUAGCUCGUUCUCUGAUACAUACAGCUUAGUGGAGUAGACGACAAUGUAGGAAAGAGCAAGAAGACCUUGACAGGCAUGACUAGGAGGAUGAACGGGAACAAAUGGACCAUUGGAGCCAUUAUCACCGCUUUGGUCGCCGCCAUUAUCCUCAUCUUCUACUUCAAACUCACCAAGUAAGCCUCUGUAUCUAAACUCUUUGUCGCUGAACAAAUGGUGUGCUGUAAGUAGUAACAGCUGAUGACGAGGAAGAAGAUAGAAGGAAGCUAAGACUCUGAGGGACAAAGAGGCUUCUGCAGUUACAGUGAAGCUACUGUAUAAAUAAUAUUAUAGAGGGAGUGAAAGAGAGACUUUAUCGAUGUAUUAGCUCAUGCCUCAUAGUUCCAGUUGAUACUCUAUAUUGUGAGAGAGAGUGAUACAGUUGUAUUGUGUGUGUUAUGGAUCAAUAGAGAUUUGGUUCAUGACAUCUGGCUUUUAUCUGUGUGAUAAGUUAUGUCUUUGCCACCUUUUGUAUUAUCACGUUCUCUUGUUUGUGUUUGCGUUUACAGUUGUGUAUUUUUAUACUAAAUGAUGCAGAUUGUUUUGUUUAUUAUUAAAAGCAAGCUUAAAUUACAUUUUAGACAAUUAGAACUUAAGCCUUGAGAAUAAGAACUAGUUGUGUGUUUUUCUUUCAUUCUUGAACCUGUUAUAAUCAGCGAGCAAGCUAUCAAUAACCUUACGCUUCAUGCUAUCCACCAAACCAGUCAAAAUCUGUAUAAACCUGGAAUAUAGCUGGUUCAUAAUAAGACCUUGAACUGAUAUUGGGUCAUCAUCAUGUAAACAGCUGCGACUCUGUGUUUUGUUUUUGUGCUAUGAAAAUUUCUUAUUUUAAAGCAUAACUUCUAUUGUUUUUCUUUUGUCCAUAAGAAAAUUUAUUUUGUCGUUAAAACCAAUGUGACCACACAAAACCACUUAUCUAAUCUAAUCUAGAAACAAUAUGAAACAAGCUUCCUGCCAAAGACAUACACCACAGUUACAACCACCUUUGAAAUCGACAUUCCAAGUAUAAACCAUCUUGGCCACAUGCUGUGAACAGUGGUUGAUCCUUCAGCUUCCUUACGCAGCUGUGAAGGUUCCAAAGAAGAGUGCGAUGACAAGCCACAGUAAGAACCAUCUAGUAUUGAGUUUUCUCCUCAGUGUCUCCGCUUUGUUGGCUUGUGGAGUUGUGCCAAGUUGAAGUACGUCGCCACGAAACCAAUGUUGUUGAGCAGGAGAUAGACAGUGUAACAUCGCGUGUCUCUGAAACGUAUGUAGCCAUUUGAAUCGAGUCCACUAGGUGGACUUGAGAAGGAAGCCACCGUGGUUAGGCCACCGAUGGCCAACACGAACUUGGUAAGUUCUUCUCGCUCUUUGUAAAGAGCCUCCAAAGGAUCCUGAAAUAAAUAAAGCGUAUGUAGCCAUGUGAUGUGGACUUGAGAAGGAAGCCAAUGUGGUUAGGCCACCGAUGGCCAACACAAACUUGGUAAGUUAUUCUCGCUCUUUAUUAAGAGCCUCCAAAGGAUCCUACAAUAAAGUGUACAAAUUUUGUAACUCAAAUCUUUUCCUCAUUCUCAGACAUCUCUCGUAGAAGACAUACUAACCGGUUUGCCUGAGAAAUAUAAAACUAAAUGUUUAAAGUACAUGCUUCUUAUAAAAUCAAUCUACAACUAUUCAAUAAAACUUGAUUUGCUUUUAUUAAACCCAUUAAAAGCAUUUACACACUCAAUCACACAACUAUACUUAAAUGCCACGACUUUCUCUUGUUCUAAAUAACUUUACGUCUUUACAUGUGUCUCAUUUGUAGACUUUCGUUACUACAUGUAACAUUUUUUCCAUGACUUUCAUGACCCGAAAUGAAGCUUUAAAAGUUCGUGAAACUAGUUUUCAAUAUAACAGUUCAUCAACUUAUCAACACAUUUACCUUAAUAUUCUAUGUUCCAAUAAAAUAAACAAACUUACUGCGAUUAUCGACGAAAUGGAGCUGAGGUUGAGGAAAGUCCUUGAUUUCCUAUCUUCAACAAAAAUAAAAAAGUAAAGAAAUGUUUUGCUAUUACAACAGCUUAUGUAGUGAUUCAGAUAAAACAAAAAAAUAAACACAACCUUCUGAUUGAUGCCACAUGAAAAAUGAUCAAUGUCUCUAAGCUUCUCAUCCUAAACGCCUUCCCCAUACAAUUUACAAAAUUUCUUCUCCUCUACAACUUUUGUCGUUAUGCGAAGAUGGUGACCCUCUGUUCAUUAAAUCGAUUGGGCUUUUUUUUCUUUCUUUUUUAGUAUCAUGUGCUUAAAGAUCCUAUUAUAAUAUUCUAAGUACGUUUUUCAUAGACGAGACAUCCCAAAUUUUUAUCUUUACUUUUCCUACACCAAUUCAUAGCUAUUUAUAUUUUGACGCAAACUAUAUAAAAUCGGAUCAGUUUACUCAAAACCCAGUACGUGGCUAAUCGUAAAAGAUACAUAGAAGUAUUCAACAAAUCAUUUCAUAUCAUUCAUUCAUUCACCCACAAAGAGCUCUCAAAUUGGUUUCGCAACUACAAAACAUCGAAUCCGUUCUUGGAUUAGGGUUUUGAGAUUGAGUCUCAUCAAUUUUUUUUGUUUCUUAUUGUAGAAAACUUUCACUUUGAGCUACAAGACAACUACUAGUGAAGGAGACCAGACAGUUCCAGAUCCGUUUCCAAAGUUGUUGGAUAAUUUAGGACCAUCUUUAGUACAUUUGUUCUUCGUCCCUGAGAAAAGAGGAGGAUCGAGUUAGGUUAAAUUUGCUACAGGUUAUGUCAAAUUGUGCGGGAGAAUGUCGGUAGUAAAAUGAACUUACUUAUGCACCUUAGUGUUUGUUAUCACACCUGAGUGUGUUGAGAUUCACAAUCUGAUUUUGAUGGAAGAAAGCGGGAAGAAACUAGUUAGCUACUUUCUUGAGAAUUCAUUUGUUCUCAAGAAACUCAUCCCGCGUUUUAGGGAUUCUUUAAUAUAUCUUACUCAGAUUUCUUCAAGGAGCUUCUUAAAUUCAGAAAGCGGUCUUGCAGUUGUCCGAUUAUUUUUCUUUGAGAAAUUGGCGAUUAGAGUUCAUUAUUUAUUUUGAUUUUGAGUAUCAUUGUGUAUGAAUUUCGUAUGGAUUGUAGAUUUUAUUAAAACCUGUUCCAUAAAGAUUUAUUUUUUGAUGGAAAAAGAGUAAACGACUUUAUAAGAUUUUGUUGCAGUUAAAAAUUAAAAGAUAAACAAAUAUAUAUUAUGUAUUUAUUUAUGAAAUAAGAAAAUUAAUUAAUACUUGAUUUGACAUUGUUAUCUUUAAGAAAUUUUAUACCUUCCAACAUGUUAAUAAAAUUGAUUACAUUAAAUAUAUCAACCGUGGCAGUUACAGCCCCCGAUUAAAGCAUUUGAUCUAGUCAGUAGAUUUCUUGGAAAUCAAGUUUCGAUUCCAUUUCAUUUGUGCAUGUUAAACGCCCUAGUAAUAGUUGUGCUGACUUCAAACAGAUCGGAGGCUUACUGAAUUUGAAUUUGGUCGACUUUGAGAAGGUGAACAAAAUUCGAUUGUGAGUUAUUUCAAAAACGUUUUUAUUGAUAAGAUGAAAAAGAGGUUACAGUGUUUGGACAUGUAAAGUAUAAAACACAAAUAUAAGUUGUUGUUUUUAACACUAGAUAAAUUACCAAUUACUAAUGAACAACUAUACAGAUAAUAAAGAGCCUACAAUACUUUGAAAUGUUCGAAGAGCUUUGCAUAUAAUAAUCUGUAAUAAACAAAACAUAAGUGUAAAAAUCUUUAAACAAUAACCAUUAAACUAUAGUGCUUAUACGAGUCGUAUUUGUUGAAAACAAAACAAGUAUGAGUCGUAUGACCUGAACAAAACAAAAUCGAAUAACAAACCGGAUCUAAUUGACCACUAACCGGAACCGGUUCAAUCGGGAAUUGACUCAAAUCCCAUUAAGCGGCGCAUCGCGAGAAAAAGAGCCAGCAACUGUUCAAAAUAUCUCAAUAGAUAGAUCAAAAAGCAAUCAUGGACACCAUCAUUCAUUAACAAAUAUCCUCUGAAACCUCCGUUUGAAUUAUUUCUAUCUUCUCACAUCGCAUCAUGGGUGCUUCAUCCUCUACAGAUAAUAAAGAAUCAUCGGAGAAGCGAGAAAUCGAAAGCCUCGCUGCUUCCACCGGUGCUCUUCCUCUGCUUCAACGAUUUUUCUCCAAGCUCGCCGAUCCUCAGACCAACACUGUUUCCUUCCAAUCAUUCAAGGUAAUAACGAUUAGGGUUCUGAUUGUUCUUAAAGAGAAUCUGGAUUUGCAGUUACAGUAGUUUUGGGAUUUGAUCGGAUCGUGAAUUAGUGUUUUGACACUGAGUUUGAUCGGAUCAUGAAUUAGGGUUUUGAGACGUUUCAUCAAUUUUUUUUUGUUUUGUUUCUUAUUGUAGAAAAGCUUCACCUUGAGCUACAAGACAACUACUUGUGAAGGAGACCAGAAAGUUCCAGAUUCGUUUCCGAGGUUGUUGGAGCAUUUAGGACCAUCUUUAGUAGAUUUGUUCUUCGUCCCUGAGAAAGGAGGAGGGUUGAGUUGGGUCGAGUUUGCUAGAGGUUAUGUCAAAUGCUGCGGAAGAAUGUCUGCCUCCAUGUCUUACAACACUCUGUUGAGAGUGUUUCAUCUGACAUCUCAAAACGCAGGCUUUUCCUCGAAGCUGGAGUUCGAAUCUGACGAAGCUGAUUGUAAGAUCAACGGGUCGGUUUCCACCGUAGAGUUGGUUAUGUUUCUGUGGAUGUGUUGGACGAUGUCGUGGGAUGGUCGAAGCAGUAGAUCCAGCGACUUGUUUCUUCCUGAUAUAAGCCACUUGGUUAUGUCAGCGCUUGUGUCUUGCACCGAGUCUGGAGCUAGUUUGGAUGUUUGGGAUUCUGAUGUUUUCGGAUUGGAGCUCGAGCUUCCUGUCGGGAAAUUCCUGACGUGGGCAUUGACGACGAUUCCAAGCCUCACUGAGUGUCUAUCUCACUUCUGCAACGCGAGGCUUCAGCAUUGUUUAAAUGCAGAGGUACUCUUUCUUUACCUGUUGCUUUUCAUUUAACCGUAUGGUGUUCACUAAAAGUGGAUUACAGGAUGGAUCUGGGCCUUCAAAGUCAGCUGGUGGAGAUGAUUCUGCGUCCAAGACAUGUGAUAACACUCUUCUAACAUGUGGAAGGGCAUGGGCGAUUUCUUUGACGUCCAAGAAUACCUUAAGUGAGGAGAUCUUGAGCUCAUGCUUUCCCUGCAAUGGCGAUGAACCCAAUGAAAAUCUUCUUUACCGGUAUCCCACUGUCCUACUUCUGUGAAGGUUCUGUCUCUAUAGUGUAACUUAACGUGUUCAAUGUUCAUCUGUCUUUCAGCUCAUACCAUCAUGGGAAAGGCAUGAAUCGAUUGUGGGACAACGUUCAAGGGUAUCAUGCUCCUAUACUAUUGCUAGUUUCUGCAAGCGGUGGAGUUGAGCAGGAGGGUAGUUCAAGCGAGAGGAAGUGGGUCAUUGGUGCUAUCUUGCAGCAAGGUUUUCAGAACAGAGAUACAUUUUACGGAAGCUCUGGGAACUUGUUCUCCAUUAGUCCUGUCUUUCACGCAUUCUCAUCUUCAGGUACUGCACACAUCAGAGAAUUUUCGUAGGCGUAGUCAGUUGUUUUGCAUUAGUGUAGUCUUAUAUGGUUUUGUGUUCAACUUCAGGGAAAGAGAAAAACUUUGCAUAUAGCCAUCUUCAUCCCUCUGGUAGAGUCUAUGACGCAAACCCAAAGCCUGUUGGAAUUGGUUUCGGGGGAACACAAGGAAACGAGAGAAUCUUCAUCGACGAAGACUUUGCUAAGAUCACAAUCCGUCAUCAUGCAGUUGAUAAAACUUACCAGCCUGGCUCUCUCUUCCCAAACCAGGUAACGCAAGUGCUGGUCUAUAUAUAUGAUUCAAGUUUUGUGGUCUUGGAUAUUUAUAACAUCUGUUGUUGCAGGGUUAUUUACCAGUAGAGGCUUUGGUGUCAGAUGUUGAAGCAUGGGCAUUAGGUGGAAAAGCAGCUAAGGAAGUUCAAGAAGCAUACAAGAAAAGAGAAGAGCUUUUCACUGACCAACGUCGAAAGGUAAGAAAAGAUCAAUAAGAUCUAUUUAUGCAAAUGCACAAAAGGACUUGCAAGUUUGACAAGUUGUUAUAUGUAUCUACAGAUUGAUUUGAAGACGUUUACGAAUUGGGAAGAUUCACCUGAGAAAAUGAUGAUGGAUAUGAUGGGGAAUCCUAAUGCUCCGGCUAGAGAAGAGAGGUAAUGAGUGAGGGGAGCAAGACUUGUUUGGUAUAUUUAUGCACAUACGUUUUCUCAAUAGAGGUUUCGUCUGUAAAGUAUAUAUUUGAAGAAACUCAUUUGCUGUUUGCGUAAGUUAUGUUUACUAUUAUCGUUGCCAAAACUCGAACCAGAGUGUUGAGUUUGAGAUUUACCCAAUAAAAAAGAGUUUUAUUUGAAGAGUUUUAUAGACGUUACAAUGAAUCAACAAGUAGAUAAUUGUGGUUUUAAGUUUCAACUAAGCAACUCUUUUCGUGUGAAAUGGUUUCCAGAGCUCUCUGCUUUCUGCUGAGAAUCAUCUCCAUCACUUUAUUCAUAGACUUGAUCUCCUCCUCUGCCUUCUUUAUCUUUCUUUCCUCCGACUCUUAUCUUCUUUCUUCUUUCUUCUUACCAAAACCAUUUUACUCUUUUCUUCAUCUCUUGCCUCACAGAUCCUACAACAAAGAAGGCCAUACCAAAACUUGGUUUUCUCUAAACCGAAUCAAUUUUAGUUAUAGUUCGGUUCAUCCUAACCCAAAAAAAAAACUAAAUGGCUUAAAAAUCGGUUAGACCUGAAUCUGGUUGCGUAAGCCUUUGGUAGAAGGUGAUGAACUUCAUAGAGAAGCUGUACAAGGGGGAUUAAAAUACUUGGUUUCUCUCCCAUUCAAGUUCCCUUACCUUUCUCUCACAUUCUUCUCUAUCCAUUCUCUAUCCAUUGUUCCUGUGUUAUUGUUAUUUUCUGGCCAUCUCAACCACCUAUGUAACUUCCCCAUCUGUUCUAGAGAAAUAGACCGAUGUAACUUCCCCAUCUGUUGAGUGGUACGGUAUUGUGCUCAAAGUCCCCUUGAAUACUAAAUUGGAAAUGUUGCUGUUGCUACGGUUUUGACGAUAGAAUAUAACUCAUAUGACAGGUUGGAAACUGAAUUAUUUUCUUUCAAACCAUGUCUUCAAAUCGAUCACAUUAGUUUUGGUUUUGCUUUUUGUUUCAAUGUUAAAUCAAUGUCCAUAAAAUUGGUUUUGUUCUUUUAUACUCUCACUAAAAAUAGCAGCAUUCUUAUUAAUAGAUGUAUACAUUGUGACAAAACUCAAUUCUAGUUAAUACAUCCUCUAUUUUUGAUGAAAAAUAUAAGUUAGAGAUGCUCUUACACAUUGAAUCCACAAGCUAAUGACCAACAAACUAGUUUAUUCAAAGUGCAUAAUUUACUAGCAAAACCUCCAUUAAAAACAGUGCUUGACAAACAUGAAUUCUCUCUUUCAAGCUCAAGAACAACGCUUAAACAAUAUAUGUAUCAGGUAGGAUUCAAAAGCUCUAAUCCGAAACAUGAAACAGAGUAUCACAAGGACAUGCAUAGGUAUUCAAAGCCUUAUCUGCUAUACUUCCUUUUAUCUGCUUUAAGUUUAUCCCUAAAAUCACACCAGUAUGUUGGCUCAUCUUGCAAAACAAGCCUCACCAGCUUCUUAUUGAGAAAAUGAAGACAUGAAUUAAACUUCAUGGUUUCUGAUCAAAAGUUGACAUCAAGAAAGAAACAAUACAAAUCUAUAUGUCCCAACCUGAAACCCAAAGCUUGAGACACAUAUCAAGAGUUAUACAUACCCAAAACUGAACAAGAGUAAACCCAAAUCAAGCGAGCAAGCAUAUCAUUGCUUCUUGUCUUCUGCUUUCCUCGGCUGCAAAAAAACAACAAACCAAACCAACACACACAAAGAUCAGUUCUCUCUUCCUCUCACAAUGAUAAAAUGUGUGAAAAGACAAACGGACCUUAACACCAGGAGCUUCUUGGUGAAUCUCUUCCUCAGGGAUGAUGACAGGCCACUGCUCCCCGGCUUCACGGAACAUCUGCUCCGUCUCGAGAUACUGCCCUUUAUCAAGAAUCAUCUUCCUGAUCGACUGAGCCGACGUGGCAGCCGCAUCGAAAGCUUCCUCGACACCAUUGACGAAAGUGACACUGAUCUGCGGUGGCUGAUCGUCGGUUCUGCGUUUCACCAGAACCUGACAGUUAGGGUUGGACUCUUUGGCCUUCCUCGCGUUGCACUGAGCCAAGAACUCGACGCAGGAGGCGAGUCUUGGGUCCAAUGUGUUGAACUCGAUCUUUACUUUUGAUAGGAACUUCAACAUCCUCUUCUCAAACCUAAAACAGUCAUUGAUAACAAAUCGUGAAGCGAGAUCUGAAGAUGAUUUCUACCAAAAUCUGAUAACCCAAUGAAAUUAAUAAGUAUACGAAAUUAAAUUGUGGGUUGAGAAGGAGAUCUCUGACUUACACAGGUCGACGGGGGCUCUCCGGCGAGAAUUGAUUUUAAGGGGAAAAUGCAGAAGAAACCGAUGCAGGUGGAAGGAAGACUGAAGAAAAGGGUUUUGGGCUUUCGACUGUGUAAAAGGACGAUAGUACCCUUAAUAUUUAUUCCCCUUUGCUUCGGUUUGGUUCGUUUUUCUGAUAGAGCCGCAGAGAAUUUUUGCAAUAAGGAUAGAUAACUAUUUUGAUUUUCUUGUAAUUGCAUUAACUUGAACUGAAGUACAAUGUUACAACGCUUAGGAAUCUAAAACAAAGCCCGAGAGAAAUAUGGGAGACACACUGCCGGCAAAGACACACCUUUCCAGAACCAUGACACUAAACAAGAGAAAUAAAGAAACUACAACAACAUAGACAACAAGAUUUUCAUCUAAAAACUUCAAUCUUUCCAUCAACACUGAUGAUAGGACCACGGCAAACCAACAUUGAAGAAAGGGAGAUAGCAAACCCCAACAGAAGUGUUAAAAACACCAGAUAAAGCACCAUUGGAAUAAAGGAUAAGGUGAUCUCUUGCUUAACCCUUGUCCCAAGGUAAUCAGAGACCCGGCGAAGCCACAAGUUCAAUACACCAUCCUACAAACAACUGUUGGAGACAACCACUCAACAAACCCAAACACUGGAAAGAGCAUGACACCUCAAAGAAACUACAAACCCCACUUCACAACCGGCAAGCGCAAAGAAGUAACCAGAACACGAACAACGCUCUGUAGCACCGGAAAAAAAAAACUGAUUUGGAGGAAGAAACAAAGCUAAUAUUGGAGCCACAAAGGAGACGACUCCCUUCCUACAGUUUCAUAAUGAAACACACCCGACAGGAAUCUGAACUUAUCAAGAAGAGGUUAGCAGCACAAAGGCAUUGCCCUCACUAGACGCCAAGAAACCCCAACCCGCAUGCGAGAACCGAGGAGAGGCCAGACCAGAACCCAACAACAUCAGAAGACUGCAUACCACCACACGAUCAGAGAACCGACGCAAAGACCAUCGAAAAGCAAACUCCACCAGAUCUACUACCACCCACAAAGAAAUAGGGAUGGCAAUAAAUAAUCUGGACCGCGGGCCUGACCCAUAAAGACUUACUGCGGGGCGGAAUCGGGCCACCUUGGUAAGCCCGCAAAAUAUAUAUGUAUUUUUUUUUUGAUAAAUGGUCAUGAAAACACACGAAGACAUUACAAAAUGAAGAUGCGAGUAUAAAUUAUACUAUCGUGAAAUUACAUCGCAGCUAUGAAUAUUACAUUUAUGUAACUUUAAAAUUUUAAAUUAUAUAUCUUCUUUGAAACGUUUGUCAUUUUUCUAUUAAUUUGGAGUAUUUCAGACCUGUGAAAAUCAUAAAUUUUAUCUUCUGUUUGGAUAUUUAAAUAAUCUGUAAAGCAUAAUUUCAUAUUAAUCUGUAAAGUAUAAUUUCAUAUCUACAAAAUCCUCUUGUAACCAACUAAACUAGAGAAGAAUUUAACAAAUAGUUGGCCCUUUAAAUACUUUAAUUAUCUAAGCCCCCAAGCACAUGCUUUACUUGCUUCCAUUCAGAGCAUCUAAAAAAAACUCUAUUUUGAAGUUUCUAAAACUCUAUAUUUGAAGUUUUAAGGUGUUUUUCUCCAAAAGCAAAACUUCAAACUUAACUUCAAAGCUAUUUGUAUUUUAUAAUAUGGUCCUAAUUUAAAUUCAUAAAACUUUUGUAUAUAACUAGCACAUAUGUAAACAUAUUACAAUAAUAUUAAUUAAUGAAAUAUUAUAUUAAAAUAUAAAAAUUUAAACAAAAUAACUUAACUAAUAUUAAACUUCAAGCAAAAUACCAUAUUAUUCCAUAAAGUGAUUUUCGUAGUGCAUAUAUGAUCUACUAGUGCAUUUUGAAUUAAAAAUAGUUUUCCUCAUUUUUAAUUUGUAGAUUAUAGAUAAUAAAUGUUGAAAUCGGGAGAUAUUAAUACUUGUAAAUACAUUAGAUCAGAACAAGAAAGUAAAAGACAAACAUAAAAUAUUUCUAAAAGACUAACUUUUAUCGAUGAUAUUAAUACUCGUGAAUAUAUUCAAUAUGAACAAGAAAGAAUUGUACGAAAAGAUAUCAUCAACAAAAACAACAACCAUCUUCAAUUACACCAAAAAACUAGACAAUAUUUGAAAUUUUGAAGGUUCCAGAUCAAACUUACCUAACUAUUAGUGUUAUUGUAUUAUUCAAAUUUGUGUAAUAGUUAUGUCUUUAUAUAAUUUUUUAAAAGUUUUUUUGUUAAGUUUCUUUUGUAUAUUUCUGUUAUAUAAAUCUAGUUUUAAAUAUUUUAAAUAUUCUUUUAACAAAAUACAAAUAAAAAUAUGAAACUUCAAAUUUGAAGUUUUGAGUAGUGAAACUUCAAAUAUAGAGUUUCACCUCUCAAAACUUCAAAUUUGAAGUUUUGAAGUUCAUUUUUAGAAAGUAAAAAGCUUUAUAUUUGAAGUUAUAGAGUGUCUUUUGUAGAUGAGCAUGGCUCUAUGUCUACUACUAUACUAUGUGAUUGUAAUUGGUUUAAGAUAUUUAAAGGUGUAUAGUGAUUCAGUUAUUGUUUAUGUAUUUAGGCAGUGCUGAAAAAUUAAUUCACGCAUGUUCAAUUUGAUGUUAGCAUUUUAAAAUCAGGUCGUAUGAAAGCAAGAUGAUCACCUAGACAAUUUUGAGUUUGACAUAACAAUAUAAUAUUUGAUAAAAUCUUUCAAACUUUGUUAAUAUGCUCACAAGUCAUAGUAUUACUAUUUGGUUGGUGGCCUAACACAUGUCUUUCGUCAUUGUGAAUAACAGUAAACAAAAUUGGUUUCUCACUUCUCUAGUUUCAAGAUAAAAUAUAGUAAUAAAUUUAAUGUUCUGGGUGGUAAAUUAUGAAAAAGAAGCAUCUCAUUAUAGAAACCUUUUUGGGUUAAGUAAAUGUUAUAAUCAUUCAAAAUUAGUUAUAAACUAGUAGAUUGCUGUCCAAAAAAAAGACUAGAUUAGGUCUAAGCAUUGCACAAGACAAAUGUAUUUAUUAUAUUAUUUAACUAACAAAUCUAUUAAAAUGCUAAUUCUACAUUGCAAAAUAAAUUGACUUCAUUAUUUUUUACAAAAAAUGUAACAAGAAUCUUCAUAUCUCACACGAACACAUGAAUUACAAGUCUACAACAGAUAUUACACCUCAGAAAUUCCAAAAGCAACCCGAUUCUCCCAUACCGGCUAAAGCGGAGGGGUCAGUACCAGUACCGGGGAACUGGGUUUCGUGACUGUUAAGCAACAGUUUCAUUAGCGAAUCAUUGUCUGUUAGAAACAGAGGAUCAGGGUAAAACAGAGGACCAGAACCGUCUUUGGACUCGAGAUGAAUGAGUCUUUUAUCUUCGGUUUCUUGGUCGGAGAAGCAGGUCACGUGAGUAGACGAACCAGGGAAGGAAUCUCGUUGAGAAGAAUCCAUCAACGAAGGUAAUCCGACCGGUUCAAUCCGGUUAACGUGUGAAUCAAGCAACAUUAAAUGGGACAUAUCAACCUUUGUACCAUCGGCACGUUUAUGGAAAACACGGCAAAUAACCCAAUCGUUCUACAUUCACACACAACAAAACAGAACACAAAAUAUCAAUUCAAUUCCACACAAAAAAAGACAAAAAAUGUCUUUGAUGUUAUUGUUACCUUAGCUGUCUGGGAGAGAUGUUGGAUAGAAUAUAUGCCUUCUAAUCGAUAUUCAUGCAUAACCCAAUUGGUUCUUACUCCUUUAGGAGCUCUUCCUUUGUAGAAAACCAGAGUCUUCUUCAUACCCACAAGUGAUUUCCCCUUGAAAAUCUCUUUAUCUUUGCCUGUGGCUUUCCAGUAACCGGCUUCAGUUGCCCGGUUUGUCCUUAAACCGGUUGGGUAUUUCCGGUCUCGCACACAAAAGAAAUACCAUUCUUUCUCCCCUAUCUUAGCUUUCCCUAUUUCACCAAAAGCCAUCACAUAUAUAUUUGUGAGUAAUAAUAAAUUACAGAACAAUAAUAACUAACAUAAAAAAGUUUAAAAAAGGUGGAAAAAGUUUAGAAAAGGCAUGAUACUUCAUGCAGUCUCAAACCAUUUGUAAAGUUUUGUGGAAUCAUGUAUAUUAAACAUAUAUAUUAUUUUUUUUUAACUUCAGAUAUAUAAAUUCAUAUUUACAGCUUUUGUUAUAGUACAAACGUUUUUUAAUUGCUGGAAAGGUUGUACACUUACUUGGUAACUCCCAAGGCUCGAUCUUGUUGAGAUCAACUUCACCAAUGGCGGUGGCAGAGAAGAAAGUGUUGAAGACCUUUUGUUUGAGAUAGUGAGUUAUGAGUUCUUCAUCAGUAGGGUGAAAUCUGAAUCCAGGUGGCAGAUCAAUUUGCUCUUCAUCUUCUACUAUUUCACCGAUUCUUGAUGCAUCGUAAUCCAUUUAUCCUAAUAAAGUUUAUUAGAAACAAUCAAAGUUAUGUAAGAGAGAAGAGAAGGGUUUUUGAAGAGAUGAAUAAAAGGGUUUUGAAGAGAGAGAGUGUGUUUUUUAAGAGAGAAGAGGAAAGGGUUUGAGCAACGAAGCUCCUCUCUAUAUACUAGUUUUCCAUCAGAGAAAUAAGGAAAUAAUAUUAUUAUUGUUGAUAUUGACCAAUAAUUGGUCAAUCUUUUGUGUAUCAAGUUCUUCUUUCAAAGUUUCAAACUAUGAGUUGUAUUGAAUUUCAAGAGUUUUUACCUACUAUAAAGAAAACUUUUAUCUUCGCUCUAAAUGAUUUAUUGUAUAUAAAUGGGUUUUCCGAUUUAAAUCUCGUACAGCCAUCAAAUCAUAUUAUAAAUCAGAAAAUGGGUGUACACACACAUUAACACAUACUAUAGUUAGUUUUCUUAGUAUGAUAGAGAAAGAGGAAGAUGCGUCGAUUGUUAGGCAACUUAAGAUGUGUAAUAUUCAAUAAUCAUUUCUCAUCAUUAAAAAUAAACCUUUCUAUUUCAAGAACUUUAAUAUUUCCAAGUUUCAAUUUGACCAGGAACACUUCACCUGUGGCUCCCUGUCCCUUUUUUGGUUAAUGUGAUAAGAACAAUCUUAUCACAUUAAAUCCUGAUGUUUUGUCCAUUCUUGAAACUAAUUAUUAGUUGCUGGAAAAAGAAUAUCAGUAGAAAACUAUGAUUAUUGGUUUGAAAACAUUUUACAUUGAAACUAUAUGAUUAUAUAAUUGAAACAUUAUAAAUUACCGCGGGUCACUAUUAUUGGUGUUGUGAUUCAGGAUAACUAUGAGAAAAGAGUUUACCAUGGUUGGAUAUAAUUUGUUUUAUUUACUUAACAAGUGUUAUCCCUCUCAUGAAAAGAUUAUGCAUGCAUGAACCUUGGAAAGUAGAUUCUUUAGUAUUAAAGGAACUCUUUUCUUUGUCCUAUUACAGUGCCUACCGUUAUAAGAAAUUAUAAUACUAGUAUGCAAGAUUUUUUAAAAAAGUUCAGUGAAAAAUUGGAAAGAAAAACGAUUUCCUUGUGAAGAUGGGUAAUGAUGAUGAAUGGAUGAGGAUUGUGAUGAUGAAAAUCUGUUAGAAUGUGAAGACAUUUUGAACAACCUCAACCUUAUCAUAUGUGAAUUAUUUGAUUUUUUUAAUGAUCGAAUCACGCGUUUGUGCAUACGAGGUUGUCAUUUGUCACUUCUACAACAUGUGCAUUUUAUUCUUUUCUAGCCAAAUUUCUUCCUCAGUAUUUUUAUUAUACUUGCUGUUUAAAUCCUUAUAUAAUCGAUGUAUUGGUAUUUUUAAUCAACUAUAGUUAUCAUAAAUUGGAAUUUGGAUCGAUACUGGAUAUAUAAUUUAUAUCUUUCUAUUGCACUCUUUUCUUUUCAACUAAUUUCCCAGACUCAAAAGAGAAAAGAUACAUAAGUUGCCAGAAAAAAAAUCAAUGUAUGUUUCACACUAAAAGAGCUAAUGACAAAAUUCAUAGUACAACAAAAAGAAUAUCAAUUCUAGAAGGCCAUAAAGCAACACUCAAGUGAUUGAUGGAACACGUGGAUUUUUCAAAUUAUGUUCCUUCUUCUCAAAAACCCGUUUAAGUUUCCUUGCCUUUUUGACCAAAUUCCCCAAUCUAUCAUUUGUCAAGUUGCUCCUCCAAAAAAUUGCUUAUACUCUUUUUAACAGAGAUGAGUAGGGUUACAUAGACAAAUUGGUUAUAUAUAUUAGGGGUGGGCAAAAAACCCAAACCGAACCGAACCGAACCAACCAAACCGAAGUUAAACCGAACCAAACCAAACCGUGCUCUUUAUGUAACCCAAUUGGUUCAUGUUUUACUCAACCCGAACGGUUUGGUUUGGUUUGGGUUUAAACCGAACCAAACCGAACCAAACCGAUAAUCCAAUAUAUAUAUAGUAAAAAUAUAUAUGAUAUAUAUAUAUGUAUUAACAUAUUGCAAAUUUUAGUUAAAGUUUCGUUUUUCAUUUUUUCAUAACUUCCAUAUCUUUAAAAAAAAUUAUAAAUACGAUUCAAAUAAUACUAUUAUAUAUAAAAUCAUGUAGCAUAAGUUUUUAUAUUCUCACUCUAUCGUUUAUGAGUUGAUUAUUUUUUAAUAAAAGUAUAAAACUAAUGCCUUCAUAUUUUAUAACCAACCCAAACUACACCGAACCAAACUAGACCAUAAUAAUGUAAACCAAACUAAAUCUAAACCAAACCGAACUGAACCGAACCGAAUUAAACCCAAACCGAACCCAACCCAAAGCUACUUUGGUUUUAAUUGGUUUGAGUUUUAUAAAACCCAAAUUACCCAAACCAAACCGAACCCAAACCGAACCCGAAACUAAACCGAAAUGCCCACCCCUAAUAUAUAUAGGGGUUAUUUGUGAAAUAACCAAAAAAGAGUAAUUAGUAUUUUUUAAUGAGAGGUUAGAAAGAAAUAGGAAGAGAAAUGAGGAAAGAGAUGGUUGUUUUGGUUAGAAAAUGAAUUUGAGGUUUUUAUGUAUAUAGGGACAUAUUUCCCUUAUAUACUUUUUGUUUUCAAAAACAAAAACCAAUAUAACUACCGCAUCAUUAUUUUUCAGUUUGUUACUGUGAAUGUUUUUGAUUUGAACGCCAUUGACUAGAUCAUGUCCAACUUCUUCAUGACCAUUAUUCCACUAUCUCUUUAUCAUGGCCUAAAACCUCGCGCAUUCAUAUCAAAAAUCUCAUUAGAAUCGAAUUGGAGAGUUUUCAAAACUCUAAUGCUUCUCCAUAUCAAACAUCUCAUUAAAAUCGCCAAAUAUUAUUCACUACUUCUUAGUUCUUACCUAUUAUGGGAGAGUUGUGAUGAUCCAUCAGUUCCCCAUAUAGAACUUCUACCGUUAUCGCUCUUCCUCGAAGUUAGAAGCGUAAAGUGUUUUAUGAUAAAAAGACAGAAAGGAAAUGGGAUGGCAAGAAACUUAUAGAAUUUUUGUUAUGAUCUAUAAUACAAUUAUUAUUACUUCGAUUUGUUUGAUUAUUUUUUACUCGUGGUUCUUUUACUAAUUGAUUAGUUAAGUUUGGCUACACUUGUUGUCUUAUAAGAUUGAUAUCGUAGAAAAGUGAGAAGCUUACAAAUCAGUUUGACGUUUUUGAUUGGGACUCGGAUAUAGUGGAUUCAGAGGAAGUGGAUGAAGAUUUCAUUGUCGACCUAAUGACUCUAUCAACUAGCAGACUUCUUUAGGAUAGGUUGGUGGCAAUUUCUGAAAUGCAACAGAGAUGAAUGCUACUUUAAGCUCAACUCAACUAAGGCAAAAGGAAGUCGAAUACAUAGGAAACAUGGUUGACGUGGUGGGUUUGGCUAACCUCACUAUGGUGACCAUGGAUAUCCUCUAGAUAGUUUUAGCUCUUGCCCGUUUCACUUUUAAGCAUUCAAGUUGCUUACUUGUUGCUUGUAAAACCUUUUCUAAAUUGCAACUGUUGGCUUUACUGUUGGCUUAAUAUAUAUGUACAAUGAGAAGGUCUAUUAAUAUUCAAUGGUGUGAGUUCUUCUACACACAUUUUCUUAGUGUGAGCCCGUCCCGUGCAUCAUAAACGUAGACCUCAUGUCGAAGUAGAACAUUCAAUUAUUUUUAUGAGAUGAGAGCAUAUAUCUACUACGAACAAAAUGCAUAUUAUUUUACUAAACAAUUGGGACGAAGAUAAUUUGUAUUAUUCGUUCCAAGUCCAACUGAGACAUUUUUUGCCAAUCAAUACAUUAUAUUAAAAUCUUCAAAUGAAGAUGAUGCAUACAAUACAAAAUUGAAAAGAUAAAUGGAAUGAUAAAAAGUUAGAAAAGAAAAGUAUAAGCCUAACAUCCAUGAGUCUCUAGCCUACUUCAAUUCUUGAAUGGAGCUAAACCAGACUUUCCAGUGGUAAAUAAAACUGAAACGUUCUUCUCGAUUAAUUGAGAUAUGUUGGCUAUUAACAAUGAUGAGUUCAUUUGCUAAGAACUUUAUGCUAUUUUUUUUUUAAUCAAAAUUUCUAAAGCUAAUCCUUUUUUCUAACACCUUUCUAAAGCUAAUCAAUCGUUUCCUUUUGUUUUAGGCUUUUAGCAGUUCUUUCCUUUUCAGGAAAUAUAAACUAAAUUCUAUAAAUCUUUUGCUACUUGGUGGUGCCAAAACCACGUGUCGCUUGAUUUUUUGAAACGGCAAGAGUUUCAUACGUAUCGCCAACCCCAACCUUCUCUUGGACACGACACAAGUAAGACGAAUUCCAAAAUAGACACGUGUUUGGAUACAAAUGGGAGUUAAUAAGUAUCAAACGCUAUUCUUAAUUAUCGUAAUUCAGUUGCUGAAAAGAACUGAUUUAGCUAAUUAAGUGGAAUUUCACUAAUUAAAGUUUGACCAGCUUCCUGAUUCGAAACAUGAGUUGCCAGUGGGAACAAACACGACUCAAAACUCCGUUACCAUGAUUCUGUGCAAGACCCAAUGGAGGAAAUGAUGGAUGCAGACUCUUCAGGAUGAUUGCAUGAACUUUGACUGACGUAGAAGUCCGGUCCACAGAGAUCCUAAGAGUUUUAAAUGUUGUUUCGAUGAGUAAUGCAUAACACUAUUAAUUAGUUUCCAAAAUUGGACUGGUUAAGGUAUUCUCAAGAUGAGUUAUAUUGGGUGCUAGUAUUGUAUAUAGGUUUAUUCAGUACGCUAUAUCUUUUUGUGGCGAUGUUUUGUCCUGAGAGAUUCUUUUAUCACUACAAGAAAACAGCUUGUUUCCUACAGACGAUUUAGUCGAAAUAAGCCAUUUCUGAUGAAUUUCGUUGGUUCUAUCUCGUCGAAAAAAAAACGUUUGAAUUUCGUCGGAUUUCUGACGCAUUUCCGACGGACAAAUUUCCGACGAAAUACCGACGAAUAAAUUUCCGACAAAAUACCAACGGAUAAAUUUCUGACGAAAUUCUGACAAAUCUUAUCCGUCGAAACUUUUGUAAACUAUUUUUAAAAUAAAAUAAAUUUUAUUUUAAAUAUAAUAUUUAAUGAAUUACGUAUAACAAAUUUUAAAAAUCAUUUAUAAUAAAUAUUUUUAAUUCUUUAUAUAUAAAUAAAAUAAAAUUUAAAAUUAGGAAAACGUUUUAACUAAAUCUUUUUUGUAAUUGAACCCAUUUCCUAGAAAUUAAAAACAUUUUAAUUAAAUCUAAAAAAAAACAAAAACUUUUUAUAGAUUGAAAAGGUUUAAAAAAAUGUGAAAAACGUUUUGAUAAUCUUUAGUAACCAGAAAAUGUUUUAUAAAUUAUAACAAACAAUAAAAACUUUUUAUAAGAACUUAAAUUUUUUUUUUUGAUGAAUUUUUUUUUUAAAGUUUAAAACGUUUUAUAAAAUCAUAAAAACGUUUUAAAACAACAAUAAUAAUAAAAACUUGAAAAUGUUAUAUAUAUAUUUAUUUAUUCUAAUAAAACUCCAAAAAUGUUUUAAAAUUUGAAAAAACAUUUUAUAAAUAACAAAAAAAAGAUUCACAAAACAACAAAUUAAAUAAACAAACUACAAAAUCACAAGCAAAACCUAUCUAAACCACAACAUAACAACAAAAUCUAACAUCUAAUUCAUAAUAUUCUUCAUCCUAACAUAAAUCCAACAUUCAAAACCUUAAAUUCACAAUUUCACAAUCAAAAAGUAACAUAAGUCAAAUGAGAAAAGGAAAGAGAUGACUUACAUAAUUUGUGAGGUGGAUUUGAGGAGUUUGAGCUUAGAAUCGUUGGAUUAGAGAGAGAGAAUCAAAGAGAAUUUGUGUAUGUUUAGAGAGAGAGAGAGGAGAAGUGAGGAAGAAGAAGGGGCUUGCGCUUUUAUAUUAAAAAUUUCUGACGGAUUGGAUUCAUCAGAAAUCCGUCAAAAUUUUUUAUUUUGACGUUUCACGAAAAAUUAGGCAGGGUUUUUCGGGGCAAAUUUCAAUUUCCGACGAAUAUACCAUUUUCGUCGGAAAUUCGCCGGAAUAUAUCAUUGUCGUCGGAAUUCGACAGAAAUAUAUUUGUCAGAAAUUUCCUACGAAUUUUGAACGAAUUAUAAUAGCCAUCGAUAAUAAAUUGAUGACUUUUAGGGUUUAAAAUCUUCAUAAUGUUUAGAAACACUUGAAAACACACAAACUAAAGAUUGCAAGAUGGAUCACCGAAAAGUAUUUGCUUAAGUGUAUAAGUGUUAACGAGAAAUAUUAGGUAUCCGUCCAUGCAUCAAUCGCAAGAAUAUAUAUAUAGCUUAAAUAAUUGAGGCAAUAUUAAUCUACAUCAUAUUUAUCACUUAAUAUAUCCGGAUGAACAUUUAUUUUGAAUAUUUCAUAUCUAAACUCAUGGUCGUCGAAAAUUCGUUGGAAAUUUGUGUCGAAUAUGCUACGAAAAUUUCGCAAUCCAUCAGAAUUUCGUCGGCAAUUUUCUAGGAAGAAAUUUGUCAAAAUUUCGUCGGACAUUUCUGACGAAUUUCCUACAGAAAUUUUUCAUUUCGUCGGAAAUCCGUCAGAAAUUUCUGAUGAAUUUCCGACGAAAACAUAAACCCCAAAUCUAUACCCUAAAUCGUGUAAUCUUCCUUGGGAGUCGUCGGUAUUUUGUCGCUUAUUUUUGAUGAAAGAAAGUUCGUCGGAAAUUCCUAAGAUAUUUCCGACAAAUGGUAAAAUUUUAUAUUUCUCGAAAUCCGUCAGAAAUUUCUCAGAAAUUUCCGACGAAUAUUUCUUCCGUCAGAAAAUGAAUAUGUUUUCUUGUAGUGUAUUGCACAUGGCCAUUUGCUAAUAAUCCAGUUUUAUGGAAUGGAUCUUGUGUGUUCACGAGGUUCAUGUGGCAGUCUUUUUCAACGAUUGGGACUUGGCUUUGUUUUAACUAGUUUUUCUAGGUGUUCCGGAUUAAUGAAAAUUCUAAGUUGGAAUUGCAGAGGACUCAGGAGUAAAUGGAUUAUUAGUUAUUUGAGAGAAAUUAGGGGGAAAUAUAAACCAGCGUUUCUAUUUUUAUCGGAAACCAAACAGCAAUUUGAUUUUGUGCAGUCUUUUUAAUUUCAUUUUGGAUAUUCUCAUCUCCAUACGGUUGAUCUUAUAGGGAGGAGUGGUGGGCUGGCUCUAUUUUAUGAUUCCACUUAUAAGGUAUAUAAACUCUUCAAGCAACAUAAUUAUAGACGUCGAGACAAAAUAUAACGGAAAAUGAAUUUUUAUUUCACUUGUUUAUGGCGAGUCAAAUCAAAAUUUUAGAGACCAGAUUUGGGAGAGGCUUACAAUAGGGAUCUUGAGGGACGAACCAUGGUUUAUUAUUGGAGACUUAAAUGAGAUUACGGGUAAUCAUGAGAAACAAGGAGGAGUUCUUAGACACGCAGAUACGUUUUUACAAUUCAAUAAUAUGAUAGAGAACUGUGGUCUGAUGGAGUUUCCAAGUCUUGGUAAUACUCUUUCUUGGAACGGAAGAAGAGCUGGACAUGUGUUAAGUGUCAACUGGAUAGGGCAUUGGCAAACAAUGAAUGGCAUAAUCUGUUUCCUUGCUCUUUUGUUGAAUACUUGGGUAUGAUUGCCUCUGAUCACAGGCCGAUUGUGGCAUCAAUAGAGGAUAAAGUACUAAACUUUUGACGGUAAUUUAGAUUUGAUAAAAGAUGGAUAGGUGAGGAUGGACUGAUGGAAUCUAUUGAACGUGGAUGGUCCACUCAGAGGGGUGGACGCCGCAUGGGUAUAGUAGAUAAAAUUCAUAAUUGUUGACAUGAAAUUUCUGUUUGGAAAAAGGAAAAUCCACCUUAUGGGAAGGAAAAAAUAAAUACUCUUCAGAGGGCUCUGGAGGAUGAUCAAAGCGAUUUGACAAAAUCUCUUGAAGUAGUGAUUGAGGUGUCCAGGAAACUAAAAGAGGCAUAUCGAGAUGAAAAAUUAUAGUGGGAACAGAAGAGUAGAACUUUGUGGCAUACAUGUGGAGAUAGAAAUACUAAAGUAUAUCAUGCUUUAACCAAACAAAGACGCAUACAAAACAUGAUUAUUGGUUUAUAUAACGAGGAUGGGGAUUGGAUUAAUUCAGAAGGUGAUAUGGAAAGUGUGUCGCUUAAAUAUUUCAAUGAUCUGUUCCAGUCUACCCCGCCUUCAGAGUUUGAUAGGUUUCUAGAGGAAGUUCCAACUUGGUAACAACUGCUCAAAAUAAUAGACUAACGGCUCAUGCUUCAAAGGAGGAAGUUAGGACGUCAUUAUUUAUGAUGCACCCGGAGAAAG